AGGAUCUACACACGAGGUGUAGAAAGAGGAGUAUAGGAGUCAUACCUGCCAUAACCUGACCUUGGACUCCGUCGUCGGGGUGAAGCUCGCUUAUUGGAUGGUGGCCGACUUGAUUCGGCUGGAGCUCCUCCCUUCUUCUGUUUCUUCUUCUUCUAACUUUUGCCUUCUGUCUGGUGCCGAUCAGAAGCUCCUUCGUCUGCGCGUACAUAUUUGUAUGCACGCUCCAAAAGUUUGAUAUAAGUCCAAAGAAGAAUUUUAUUCAAAGAAUAUGUGAAUCGAGAUCCCCUCAGACCUCUUUUCAUGGUCGAGAUAGUCAUGUUUUCAUUAGGUC
RNAcentral lists this long non-coding RNA (331 nucleotides) under Elaeis guineensis (African oil palm). Its description in RNAcentral is "long non-coding RNA (EGUI_LNC075149)". The record is from RNAcentral. Lineage: Eukaryota; Viridiplantae; Streptophyta; Magnoliopsida; Arecales; Arecaceae.